This 305-nucleotide ribosomal RNA is filed under the name uncultured bacterium. RNAcentral's name for it is "bacterial SSU rRNA". It matches the Rfam family "Bacterial small subunit ribosomal RNA", at positions 333 to 630 of the family's 1533-position model. The record is from RNAcentral.
UUGGUCCUACGGGAGGCAGCAGUAGGGAAUCUUCGGCAAUGGGCGAAAGCCUGACUGAGCAACGCCGCGUGAAUGAAGAAGGCCUUCGGGCUGUAAAAUUCUGUUAUAAGGGAAGAAAGGUGAUAGGAGGAAAUGACUAUCAAUUGACGGUACCUUAUGAGAAAGCCACGGCUAACUACGUGCCAGCAGCCGCGGUAAUACGUAGGUGGCAAGCGUUAUCCGGAAUUAUUGGGCGUAAAGAGCGCGCAGGUGGUUAAUUAAGUCUGAUGUGAAAGCCUUCGGCUCAACCGGAGAAUUGCAUCAGA